UCCCUUGUAUCUCAAUUGGUAAAGAAUCUGCCUGCAUCAGGAGACCCAGGUUCGAUUCCUGGGUUGGGAA
RNAcentral lists this transfer RNA (70 nucleotides) under Ovis aries (sheep). It matches the Rfam family "tRNA". From Rfam's summary of the family: Transfer RNA (tRNA) molecules are approximately 80 nucleotides in length. Their secondary structure includes four short double-helical elements and three loops (D, anti-codon, and T loops). Lineage: Eukaryota; Metazoa; Chordata; Mammalia; Artiodactyla; Bovidae. The record is from Rfam by way of RNAcentral.